CCCUUUGGGUGUGACUGCGUACCUUUUGUAUAAUGGGUCAGCGACUUAUAUUCUGUAGCAAGGUUAACCGAAUAGGGGAGCCGGAGGGAAACCGAGUCUUAAUUGGGCGUUAAGUUGCAGGGUAUAGACCCGAAACCCGGUGAUCUAGCCAUGGGCAGGUUGAAGGUUGGGUAACACUAACUGGAGGACCGAACCGACUAAUGUUGAAAAAUUAGCGGAUGACCUGUGGCUGGGGGUGAAAGGCCAAUCAAACCGGGAGAUAGCUGGUUCUCCCCGAAAGCUAUUUAGGUAGCGCCUCGUGAAUUCAUCUCCGGGGGUAGAGCACUGUUUCGGCUAGGGGGCCAUCCCGGCUUACCAACCCGAUGCAAACUGCGAAUACCGGAGAAUGUUAUCACGGGAGACACACGGCGGGUGCUAACGUCCGUCGUGAAGAGGGAAACAACCCAGACCGCCAGCUAAGGUCCCAAAGUCAUGGUUAAGUGGGAAACGAUGUGGGAAGGCCCAGACAGCCAGGAUGUUGGCUUAGAAGCAGCCAUCAUUUAAAGAAAGCGUAAUAGCUCACUGGUCGAGUCGGCCUGCGCGGAAGAUGUAACGGGGCUAAACCAUGCACCGAAGCUGCGGCAGCGACACUGUGUGUUGUUGGGUAGGGGAGCGUUCUGUAAGCCUGUGAAGGUGUGUCGUGAGGCAUGCUGGAGGUAUCAGAAGUGCGAAUGCUGACAUAAGUAACGAUAAAGCGGGUGAAAAGCCCGCUCGCCGGAAGACCAAGGGUUCCUGUCCAACGUUAAUCGGGGCAGGGUGAGUCGACCCCUAAGGCGAGGCCGAAAGGCGUAGUCGAUGGGAAACGGGUUAAUAUUCCCGUACUUGGUGUUACUGCGAAGGGGGGACGGAGAAGGCUAUGUUGGCCGGGCGACGGUUGUCCCGGUUUAAGCGUGUAGGCUGGUUUUCCAGGCAAAUCCGGAAAAUCAAGGCUGAGGCGUGAUGACGAGGCACUACGGUGCUGAAGCAACAAAUGCCCUGCUUCCAGGAAAAGCCUCUAAGCAUCAGGUAACAUCAAAUCGUACCCCAAACCGACACAGGUGGUCAGGUAGAGAAUACCAAGGCGCUUGAGAGAACUCGGGUGAAGGAACUAGGCAAAAUGGUGCCGUAACUUCGGGAGAAGGCACGCUGACACGUAGGUGAAGUGAUUUACUCAUGGAGCUGAAGUCAGUCGAAGAUACCAGCUGGCUGCAACUGUUUAUUAAAAACACAGCACUGUGCAAACACGAAAGUGGACGUAUACGGUGUGACGCCUGCCCGGUGCCGGAAGGUUAAUUGAUGGGGUCAGCGCAAGCGAAGCUCCUGAUCGAAGCCCCGGUAAACGGCGGCCGUAACUAUAACGGUCCUAAGGUAGCGAAAUUCCUUGUCGGGUAAGUUCCGACCUGCACGAAUGGCGUAAUGAUGGCCAGGCUGUCUCCACCCGAGACUCAGUGAAAUUGAACUCGCUGUGAAGAUGCAGUGUACCCGCGGCAAGACGGAAAGACCCCGUGAACCUUUACUAUAGCUUGACACUGAACAUUGAGCCUUGAUGUGUAGGAUAGGUGGGAGGCUUUGAAGUGUGGACGCCAGUCUGCAUGGAGCCGACCUUGAAAUACCACCCUUUAAUGUUUGAUGUUCUAACGUGGACCCGUUACCCGGGUUGCGGACAGUGUCUGGUGGGUAGUUUGACUGGGGCGGUCUCCUCCUAAAGAGUAACGGAGGAGCACGAAGGUUGGCUAAUCCUGGUCGGACAUCAGGAGGUUAGUGCAAUGGCAUAAGCCAGCUUGACUGCGAGCGUGACGGCGCGAGCAGGUGCGAAAGCAGGUCAUAGUGAUCCGGUGGUUCUGAAUGGAAGGGCCAUCGCUCAACGGAUAAAAGGUACUCCGGGGAUAACAGGCUGAUACCGCCCAAGAGUUCAUAUCGACGGCGGUGUUUGGCACCUCGAUGUCGGCUCAUCACAUCCUGGGGCUGAAGUAGGUCCCAAGGGUAUGGCUGUUCGCCAUUUAAAGUGGUACGCGAGCUGGGUUUAGAACGUCGUGAGACAGUUCGGUCCCUAUCUGCCGUGGGCGCUGGAGAACUGAGGGGGGCUGCUCCUAGUACGAGAGGACCGGAGUGGACGCAUCACUGGUGUUCGGGUUGUCAUGCCAAUGGCACUGCCCGGUAGCUAAAUGCGGAAGAGAUAAGUGCUGAAAGCAUCUAAGCACGAAACUUGCCCCGA
Molecule: ribosomal RNA, 2233 nt
Filed under: Salmonella enterica subsp. enterica serovar Enteritidis
Lineage: Bacteria; Pseudomonadati; Pseudomonadota; Gammaproteobacteria; Enterobacterales; Enterobacteriaceae
Description: partial 23S ribosomal RNA
Rfam family: Bacterial large subunit ribosomal RNA
Source: RNAcentral